AUACGUAGGGUGCGAGCGUUGUCCGGAAUUACUGGGCGUAAAGAGCUCGUAGGUGGUUUGUCGCGUCGUCUGUGAAAUUCCGGGGCUUAACUCCGGGCGUGCAGGCGAUACGGGCAUAACUUGAGUACUGUAGGGGAGACUGGAAUUCCUGGUGUAGCGGUGAAAUGCGCAGAUAUCAGGAGGAACACCGGUGGCGAAGGCGGCUCUCUGGGAAGUAACUGACGCUGAGGAGCGAAAGCAUGGGUAGCGAACAGGAUUAGAUACCCUGGUAGUCCAUGCCGUAAACGGUGGGCGCUAGGUGUAGGGGUCUUCCACGACUUCUGUGCCGUAGCUAACGCAUUAAGCGCCCCGCCUGGGGAGUACGGCCGCAAGGCUAAAACUCAAAGGAAUUGACGGGG
This 398-nucleotide ribosomal RNA is filed under the name uncultured bacterium. RNAcentral describes it as "partial 16S ribosomal RNA". It matches the Rfam family "Bacterial small subunit ribosomal RNA", at positions 523 to 918 of the family's 1533-position model. The record is from RNAcentral.